GACGAACGCUGGCGGCGUGCUUAACACAUGCGAGUCGAACGGAAAGGCCCCAGCUUGCUGGGGUACUCGAGUGGCGAACGGGUGAGUAACACGUGGGUGAACUGCACUGCACUCUGGGAUAAGCCUGGGAAACUGGGUCUAAUACCGGAUAGGACCGUGCUUUCGUGUGUGUGGUGGAAAGUUUUUCGGUGCUGGAUGCGCCCGCGGCCUAUCAGCUUGUUGGUGGGGUAAUGGGCUACCAAGGCGGCGACGGGUAGCCGGCCUGGGAGGGGGUACGGCCACAUUGGGACUGAGACACGGCCCAGACUCCUACGGGAGGCAGCAGUGGGGAAUAUUGCACAAUGGGCGCAAGCCUGAUGCAGCGGCGCCGCGUGGGGGAUGACGGCCUUCGGGUUGUAAACCCCUUUCGGCAGGGACGAAGCUUUUGUGACGGUACCUGCAUAAGAAGCACCGGCUAACUACGUG
Molecule: ribosomal RNA, 465 nt
Filed under: uncultured bacterium
Lineage: Bacteria
Description: partial 16S ribosomal RNA
Rfam family: Bacterial small subunit ribosomal RNA
Source: RNAcentral